CUGAACCCCUAAAUUCUAAUGGGCGAUGGUUCCAACUGUGAUGGUUCUUUGCCUAGAAGCAAACAGAAGAGGAGGAAGGAGAUCAGUUCACAAAUUUCCACAAUCUAGGAAAGGCCUUGAAAACACUGCUUGCUGGAAUUUCCUUGUGGCGCAGCAGGUUAAGGAUCCAGUGUUGUCCCUGCAGUGGAUUGGGUCACUGCCACGGCGCAGGUUCAAUCCCGGGCCUGAAACCUCCAUACGCCGUGGGCGCAGCCAAAAAACAUUUUUAAAUAAAAAUAAUAAAACACUGCUUGCUGCCCACAUCCAUAACAUCCAGUCCCCUCCUCCUCCUUGGUAAAAGAAGCUUGUUUUUCAUUUUACCUAUGGCACAGAGGCUAAAAGGCUACACUUGCCGGCCUCCCUUACAGCUAGGUGUGUAUAUGUGACCAUAUCACAACCAGUGAGACACAAGCAGAAGUGAUCAUGGGACCUCCAGAAAAGAGCUCAGAGAGAGCUGAUUCAGCAGAGCACGUGCCUCCUUUUAGGGCCAUGCCUUUCUUCUUCCUGUCCACAUGUGGCUCAGACAUGAGCUCCGAAGCUCCAGGAACACCCUGGACAAUGAGGCGACCCAAAGGAUGGAAUCUACGGGCAGGAAGAUGGGAGCCUGGGCCCCCAGUGACGUCCUGGGACUCCAAAGGCCCUGACCUGCUACCUCCAGCUUAGUUGAACGCAAGAAACAAAACUCUCCAUCACUCAAGCAUCUUUUAAAUUACUGUAAAUCUGAGGUUUGGGGGUGGGGGGUUGUUGUUGUUACACGCAGCCAAAGCUGAUCCAAACUAACAUGAGCUCAAAGCAAAAAUAAAACAGCCACAAAACCCUGCUCCCAUCUUUAUUCCCAACCAGCUCCAUACAAAGUGAGACAUCCAUCCAGAUAAAAAUCCAGCAUUCCUACAGGUUAAUGUGUUUCACAUUUGAAUGCCCAGAACUUCUUAGACAAUCAUCUCUGUCACUGGCUCCAAAGAACAUACCAUCAAGAUUCUGUGUCCUUUUCUAAAUAAGAGAACAAUUUCCUCUGGUCUUACUGAAGGGCACUCAUCAGAGAUUUUCAAGAGUCUGGGGGAAUGAAAGAGUAUGGAAAGCAAUGUCAAGCUUCCACCUGGGAAGAAGGGCAGAAGAGGACUUCAAGCUGAACACAGUUCUGCUCACCCAUAUUUUUUUCUUUCUCUAACGGAGCUAAACAUGUAUGUUUAUCAAAUGCAAACGGUGCAGUAAAUACAAAGGGAUUGCCAGAGAAAUCCUCAACACAUAAAAAGGGAGAAAAAAAAAUCCUGUGUGUUGAGGACUUGGGAGAUUUCACAUCACCUCAUUUCAUCCAUGCUAAAGGAAAAAUAAUGAGCGAGUUCCCGCCAUGACGCAGUGGGUUAAGACCCUGACUGCAGAGGCUCACGUCGCUGUGGAGGUGCGGGUUCAAUCUCUGGCCAGUACCGUGGGUCAAAGGAUCUGGCGUUGCCACAGCUGUGGCAUAGGUCACAGCUGCAGCUCAGAUUCAAUCCCUGGCCCAGGAACUUCCAUUAAUGCCACAGAUGCAGCCACUAAGAAAAAAGAAAGAGGUACUCCUGAUGUGGCUCAGCAAGUUAAGAACUCAACUAGUAUCCAUGAGGAUGUGGGUUUGAUCCCUGGCCUUGCUCAGUAGAAUAAAGGAUCCAGCACUGCUGCGAGCUGCAGUGUAGACUGCAGCUGCUCAGUUCAGAUCUGGCAUUGCUAUGGCUGUGUCAUAGGCCGGGGGCUAGAGCUCCAACUUGACCCCUAGGCCUGGGAAUCUCCAUAUGCCACAGGUGCAGCCCUAAAAAGACAAAAAAAGAAAUAGAAAGAAAAAAUAAUGAUACUAUGAGCUAGGUGUUACGCUUACUCCAUAAAAUAUAAGGAAAUGGUGUUUGAGAGGUUGGAGGAGUCAUCUGAGGUCACAUAGCUGGUCAGUCUUCUUUUUCAAAUAAGGGGGAGGGGAAGAGAGGGAAAGGCAAAGAGGAAUUUGCCCUCUAUAUCUUUCUGCAUGUUCUGAAUUUUAUACAAUUAUGUACAUGCCUUCUUUGACUAUUUGCCCUUAAAAUAAAAAAUGGAGUUAUUUUUCAUGAUUCUGGAAAAGGAAAGCAAUUGGACCAAACCACAUGAGGCCACAGGGACGAAGCAAUGCACACACAUGCACAGCUCACCUGACCUAAGAAGACCAGCCACACCCUCCAGGCCUGGGAUAGAUGUUGGAUGAGGCAGGACGGAGGCAACUGUGCUCCCUGCAGCAUCUGCAGCUCUCAGCAGAAGCCUGGCCCACACAUAGCAGGUCCAUCGCCAAGUCAGUGCUCAAAGCCACCAUGUGACAUGGGGCAAAUCUGUGUCAUAUAGCACCGGGACAUGGUACAAAAGCAUACAUUCAUCAGUGAAAAUCUUGUUUUGCUUUGGAUUCACUUCCAAACUACUCCUCAUUUGCAGGAGUCCUAACUCGCAGCUUUAACUUCCCACUCUGCAAUGGAUCCAAACAAAGAGCAAGAACAGGAGGACUGUUGGCUGAAUCUGGUUCAUCUACACAAUGUUUUGAAAUGAAUCUAAACUAACUUUAACAAUUCAGAGAUCUCACAUUCGAAGCCCAGAUUUUGAGUUUUUCAUGAAGAACUGCAGGAUAUGGCAACACCAGGUCCAUAUCCUUGGGCUGGCCAUGAGGGGAGAUUGACAGAUGGCGAAAGGGGGCACAGAAAGGACCCCAGGCUGCUCCCAGCACCAUCGCAGCCAAGGCCAGCACCCAUCUUCAAGCCUUUUUCUCCACCAUAAGAGAAACAUAUUUUGGUGCCCAGGCUUCUAUCAAAAGCACAAAAUGGAAAGAUAAACCAAGAAGAUCCUGUGUUUCAAGAAAGGUGAGACAGCAUAUGACUAGCAGCAGGGAGGACCUUUGCUUUCGUCUAAUAUGCAAGCCAAGUACAACUGUGAAGCAAGACUAUUAACUUAGGGAGUUCCUGCUGCGGCGCAGCGGAAAUGAUUCCGACUAGGAACCAUGAGGUUGUGGGUUCGAUCCCUGGCCUCGCUCAGUGGGUCAAGGAUCCGGCGUUGCCAUGAGCUGUGGUGUAGGUCACAAACGUGGCCCAGAUCUGGCAUUGCUGUGGCUCUGGUGUAGGCCGGCAGCUGUAGCUCCUAUUAGACCCCUAGCUUAUUAGACCCCCACAUGCUGUGCAGCUCUAAAGAACAAAAAAAAAAAAAAAAAGACUAUUAACUUAGGAUGCUUUUUCUUUCACCUGGGGAGCCCCUCUUAUUUCUGCUCACUGCCUGGACCCUGGAUGCAUGUGAGCGUGGGACAUAAGACCUCUCUAAAGAAGAGGUUCUGGGGAGAAAAGGUAACAAACCACACAAUACUGCAGGCAGCUCUUGCACUGAAGUCCAAAAAGACCAUUAGGCAACAAAGGCUGUUGUCAAAUAUGCGAUAUAGACUGCAUCCUUACAAAGCGAUGUGUUAGAGAGAGAUCUAAUCUCCAGCUCCUGUUAUUCUAGGAGCCACAGGAGGCCCCCAGGACCCAGCUUUGGGGCCAGACAGUGAUCCAAGCAGCUUCGAAGCAGCCCCAGCCCAGGGAAGGCAGUCAGGCCAACCCACAGAGCACAGAACCUUGUCCUAGGCAGUGAAUGAACCAGCUUCCGGUUGUCCCCUGCCCUUUGGAUAUAUCUGAAUAGUCACCGAAACGCUCAGGACAAGGAUGGGAAUGACACAGCGUCCGAGAGUUGGGAAGAACACGCAGAGGGCAGGAACCUCUAUUUCUUAAGCCUUAUUCAGGUCAUAUGCCAGGUGCUUUGCAUGAAGAAACAAAUUUCAUUUCACAAUCUCAUGACACAGGUCUCAUCCAUUCCAUUUUCACAAAUGAAGAAAUCAAGGCUGAGAAGUUAAUAACUUGCCCAAGGUCACUGUCAGUAAGCUGUUGAGACAGGUAACAGGCUGCUGGCUUUGGGAUGACAGUUGAGGGUGGUCUGUGGUACAGGUAGAAAUCAAGGGCAAGAGUAGAAAGGGCGGCGUUCCCGUCGUGAUACAGUGGAAACGAAUCCGACUAGGAACCAUGAGGUUGUGGGUUCGAUCCCUGGCCUUGCUCCGUGGGUUAAGGAUCCAUCAUUGCCGCACGCUGCAGUGUAGAUCACAGAUACAGCUCAGAUCCAGUAUGGCUGUGGCUGUGGCAUAGGCCAGCAGCUGUAGCUCUGAUUCGACUCCUAGCCUGGGAACUUCCAUUUGCCACAGGUGCACUCCCCCCACCCCGCCCCCCGCCCAGGGUUGGAGGGAGUAAAAAGGGAAACCUGGCAGCCACUCACACGCGAAUGGCAUGUGUCCCUUUGCCGCCUGGAAGAGCCUAGCUUCACAACAGAUGGAUUCUGAGCUGCCCUGACAUGAGGCUCAGCGGAUCACUGCCCUGUGCAACAAGGCAUGUGGCCUCCUAUGGAAGGCUUCAUUAGUCUGGGGACAUCCUAGAUUUUUCUUCCUUUCCAGGUACGACCACAGGAGGUGUGUCCCUCCCAGGUCACAGCCCUUCUCCGUGGUCUUUGCCUCUAACUCCCAACCCCAGCCAUACUCUGACCAUCCCUGAGACCUGCCGGCCAACUAAGAAAUGACAUCUUGGCUACAGUCUUUCACCCCCGUAGGGACCUGGUCUGCUAAGAGACCACCUGAAGCCCAGGAAGCAGUCCUCAUCGGUAGGUAGACACUGGGCUCCAACAAGCAGACUUCAAAACCUAAUCCCAGAACCUCCAACACGUCUCAAUGAAAUCAAAUGAGGUCCUCAAUCAACCAGCUGAAGACCUUCAGGGCAAAGCCCAUGAGAAACCUUUAUCAAGGGAAGGUCUCCAAUUCCUUUCAACAGAAAGGCAAAGCCAAAGGCAACAAGGCCCCGAAUUUCUCAGCCACUUGCCCUGUUUGGGGGGAAAAGGGUUUCAGUUACACUUUCUUAGCCACUACACGGGAACUCUAUCCCAACCCCUAUCGUGCUCAAGUUGUACAUCUCGCUGGGCUGGUCCCCCCUUCCUUUUAUGGGAAGGUUCUGUGUCCUGGGAUCUCACCCUUCCUGGCUAUGCCUUCAAGGGGAUUCCAAUCAGGCCCUUUGUCAUCAAAACCUGUUUCAGGAGUUUCUAUUUUUCCUGCAAUCCCACCAACAGUAACUAGGAACCAUGAGGUUGUGGGUUGAGGAUCUGACGUUGCCGUGAGCUGUGGUGUAGGUUGCAGACGCAGCUCGGAUCCCACGUUGCUGUGGCUCUGGCAUAGGCUGGUGGCUACAGCUCCGAUUCGACCCCUAGCCUGGGAACCUCCAUGUGCGUGGGAGCAGCCCUAGAAAGGGCAAAAAGGCAGAAGAAAACAAAAAAACAAACAAAACCAAAAAAAAAAAAAAAACCAAAAAAAAA
This 5391-nucleotide long non-coding RNA is filed under the name Sus scrofa (pig). RNAcentral's name for it is "lncRNA (ENSSSCG00015071092.1)". The record is from RNAcentral. Lineage: Eukaryota; Metazoa; Chordata; Mammalia; Artiodactyla; Suidae.